GAUGAACGCUGGCGGCGUGCCUAAUACAUGCAAGUCGAGCGAACAGACGAGGAGCUUGCUCCUCUGACGUUAGCGGCGGACGGGUGAGUAACACGUGGAUAACCUACCUAUAAGACUGGGAUAACUUCGGGAAACCGGAGCUAAUACCGGAUAAUAUGUUGCAUCGCAUGGUUCAACAGUGAAAGACGGUCUUGCUGUCACUUAUAGAUGGAUCCGCGCCGCAUUAGCUAGUUGGUAAGGUAACGGCUUACCAAGGCAACGAUGCGUAGCCGACCUGAGAGGGUGAUCGGCCACACUGGAACUGAGACACGGUCCAGACUCCUACGGGAGGCAGCAGUAGGGAAUCUUCCGCAAUGGGCGAAAGCCUGACGGAGCAACGCCGCGUGAGUGAAGAAGGUCUUCGGAUCGUAAAACUCUGUUAUUAGGGAAGAACAAAUGUGUAAGUAACUAUGCACGUCUUGACGGUACCUAAUCAGAAAGCCACGGCUAACUACGUG
This 497-nucleotide ribosomal RNA is filed under the name uncultured bacterium. Its description in RNAcentral is "partial 16S ribosomal RNA". It matches the Rfam family "Bacterial small subunit ribosomal RNA", at positions 28 to 507 of the family's 1533-position model. The record is from RNAcentral.